Molecule: ribosomal RNA, 475 nt
Filed under: uncultured bacterium
Lineage: Bacteria
Description: bacterial SSU rRNA
Rfam family: Bacterial small subunit ribosomal RNA
Source: RNAcentral
UAGUCCACGCCCUAAACGAUGCUAACUCGAUGUUUGGGUCCUAGAUCUGAGCAUCCAAGCGAAAGCGUUAAGUUAGCCACCUGGGGAGUACGUUCGCAAGAAUGAAACUCAAAGGAAUUGACGGGGGUCCGCACAAGCGGUGGAGCAUAUGGUUUAAUUCGAUGAUACGCGAGGAACCUUACCCAGGCUCUAAUGCUAUGCGCAAUGUGGUGAAAGCCGCAGUUCUUCGGACGCAUAGCAAGGUGCUGCAUGGUUGUCGUCAGCUCGUGCCGUGAGGUGUUGGGUUAAGUCCCGCAACGAGCGCAACCCUCGUCUUUAGUUGCCAUCAUUCAGUUGGGCACUCUAAAGAGACUGCCGGUGACGAACCGGGAGGAAGGUAAGGAUGACGUCAAGUCAGCAUGCCCCUUACGCCCUGGGGCUACACACGUGCUACAAUGGGUCUGACAAAGGGUCGCUAAUCUGCAAAGCAUGCUAA